UGGGGGAUAUUGCACAAUGGGCGAAAGCCUGAUGCAGCGACGCCGCGUGGGGGAUGAAGGCCUUCGGGUUGUAAACUUCUUUUGCUCUGAACAAGGCAUGCUAAUGGGUGUGUUGAGUGUAGGGGUUGAUUAGCGCCGGCUAACUACGUGCCAGCAGCCGCGGUAAUACGUAGGGCGCGAGCGUUGUCCGGAAUUAUUGGGCGUAAAGGGCUUGUAGGUGGCUGGUUGGGUCUGUCGUGGUGGCUAAUGGCUUAGCUGUGGGUUUGCGGUGGGUACGGGCUGGCUGGAGUGCAGUAGGGGAGGCUGGAAUUCCUGGUGUAGCGGUGGAAUGCGCAGAUAUCAGGAUGGAGAACGGUGGCUGAGGCGGGUCUCUGGGCUGUUACUGACACUGAGGAGCGAAAGCAUGGGGAGCGAACAGG
This 419-nucleotide ribosomal RNA is filed under the name bacterium. Its description in RNAcentral is "partial 16S ribosomal RNA". It matches the Rfam family "Bacterial small subunit ribosomal RNA", at positions 355 to 776 of the family's 1533-position model. The record is from RNAcentral.